RNAcentral lists this unclassified non-coding RNA (434 nucleotides) under soil metagenome. RNAcentral describes it as "partial contains 5.8S ribosomal RNA, internal transcribed spacer 2, and large subunit ribosomal RNA". The stretch from base 1 to 120 matches the Rfam family "5.8S ribosomal RNA", at positions 35 to 154 of the family's 154-position model. The record is from RNAcentral.
GAUGAAGAACGUAGCGAAAUGCGAUAAGUAGUGUGAAUUGCAGAAUUCAGUGAAUCAUCGAAUCUUUGAACGCAUAUUGCGCUCUUUGGUAUUCCGAAGAGCAUGCUUGUUUGAGUAUCAGUAAACACCUCAAAGCUUUUGGAUUUUUUAAUCGAAAAGCUUUGGACUUGAGCAAUCCCAACACCAAUCUUUUUGAGAUCGGUGGCGGGUUGCUUGAAAUGCAGGUGCAGCUGGACAUUCUCCUGAGCUAAAAGCAUAUUCAUUUAGUCCCGUCAAACGGAUUAUUACUUUUGCUGCAGCUAACAUAAAGGGAGUUUGACCGUAUUGGCUGACUGAUGCAGGAUUUCACAAGGGUCGGCAACGAUUCUUGUUAAACUCGAUCUCAAAUCAAGUAAGACUACCCUCUGAACUUAAGCAUAUCAAUAAGCGGAGGA